RNAcentral lists this ribosomal RNA (253 nucleotides) under uncultured bacterium. Its description in RNAcentral is "partial 16S ribosomal RNA". It matches the Rfam family "Bacterial small subunit ribosomal RNA", at positions 524 to 776 of the family's 1533-position model. The record is from RNAcentral.
UACGUAGGGUGCGAGCGUUGUCCGGAAUUAUUGGGCGUAAAGAGCUUGUAGGCGGUCUGUCGCGUCUGCUGUGAAAAUCCGGGGCUCAACCCCGGACUUGCAGUGGGUACGGGCAGACUAGAGUGUGGUAGGGGAGACUGGAAUUCCUGGUGUAGCGGUGAAAUGCGCAGAUAUCAGGAGGAACACCGGUGGCGAAGGCGGGUCUCUGGGCCGAUACUGACGCUGAGGAGCGAAAGCAUGGGUAGCGAAUAGG